GUGCCAGCCGCCGCGGUAAUACGUAGGGUGCAAGCGUUAAUCGGAAUUACUGGGCGUAAAGCGUGCGCAGGCGGUUUUGUAAGUUUGUCGUGAAAGCCCCGGGCUCAACCUGGGAAUUGCGAUGAAGACUGCAAGGCUUGAAUCUGGCAGAGGGGGGUAGAAUUCCACGUGUAGCAGUGAAAUGCGUAGAGAUGUGGAGGAACACCGAUGGCGAAGGCAGCCCCCUGGGUCAAGAUUGACGCUCAUGCACGAAAGCGUGGGGAGCAAACAGGAUUAGAUACCCGAGUAGUCC
This 292-nucleotide ribosomal RNA is filed under the name uncultured bacterium. RNAcentral describes it as "partial 16S ribosomal RNA". It matches the Rfam family "Bacterial small subunit ribosomal RNA", at positions 505 to 796 of the family's 1533-position model. The record is from RNAcentral.